RNAcentral lists this ribosomal RNA (861 nucleotides) under Bacillus siamensis. RNAcentral describes it as "bacterial SSU rRNA". It matches the Rfam family "Bacterial small subunit ribosomal RNA", at positions 79 to 923 of the family's 1533-position model. Lineage: Bacteria; Bacillati; Bacillota; Bacilli; Caryophanales; Bacillaceae. The record is from RNAcentral.
CUUGCUCCCUGAUGUUAGCGGCGGACGGGUGAGUAACACGUGGGUAACCUGCCUGUAAGACUGGGAUAACUCCGGGAAACCGGGGCUAAUACCGGAUGGUUGUCUGAACCGCAUGGUUCAGACAUAAAAGGUGGCUUCGGCUACCACUUACAGAUGGACCCGCGGCGCAUUAGCUAGUUGGUGAGGUAACGGCUCACCAAGGCGACGAUGCGUAGCCGACCUGAGAGGGUGAUCGGCCACACUGGGACUGAGACACGGCCCAGACUCCUACGGGAGGCAGCAGUAGGGAAUCUUCCGCAAUGGACGAAAGUCUGACGGAGCAACGCCGCGUGAGUGAUGAAGGUUUUCGGAUCGUAAAGCUCUGUUGUUAGGGAAGAACAAGUGCCGUUCAAAUAGGGCGGCACCUUGACGGUACCUAACCAGAAAGCCACGGCUAACUACGUGCCAGCAGCCGCGGUAAUACGUAGGUGGCAAGCGUUGUCCGGAAUUAUUGGGCGUAAAGGGCUCGCAGGCGGUUUCUUAAGUCUGAUGUGAAAGCCCCCGGCUCAACCGGGGAGGGUCAUUGGAAACUGGGGAACUUGAGUGCAGAAGAGGAGAGUGGAAUUCCACGUGUAGCGGUGAAAUGCGUAGAGAUGUGGAGGAACACCAGUGGCGAAGGCGACUCUCUGGUCUGUAACUGACGCUGAGGAGCGAAAGCGUGGGGAGCGAACAGGAUUAGAUACCCUGGUAGUCCACGCCGUAAACGAUGAGUGCUAAGUGUUAGGGGGUUUCCGCCCCUUAGUGCUGCAGCUAACGCAUUAAGCACUCCGCCUGGGGAGUACGGUCGCAAGACUGAAACUCAAAGGAAUUGACGGGGGCCCG